UUCAUGGCUCAGGACGAACGCUGGCGGCGUGCUUAACACAUGCAAGUCGAGCGGUAAGGCUCCUUCGGGAGUACACGAGCGGCGAACGGGUGAGUAACACGUGAGCAACCUACCCCUUUCAUCGGAAUAACCAGUGGAAACGCUGGCUAAUGCCGAAUACGACCACCGAAGGCAUCUUCUGGUGGUGGAAAGCUCCGGCGGAGAGGGAUGGGCUCGCGGCCUAUCAGCUAGUUGGUGAGGUAAUGGCUCACCAAGGCAACGACGGGUAGCCGGCCUGAGAGGGUGACCGGCCACACUGGGACUGAGACACGGCCCAGACUCCUACGGGAGGCAGCAGUGGGGAAUAUUGGACAAUGGGCGAAAGCCUGAUCCAGCAACGCCGCGUGAGGGAUGACGGCCUUCGGGUUGUAAACCUCUUUCAGUAGGGACGAAGCGAAAGUGACGGUACCUACAGAAGAAGGACCGGCCAACUACGUGCCAGCAGCCGCGGUAAUACGUAGGGUCCGAGCGUUGUCCGGAAUUAUUGGGCGUAAAGGGCUCGUAGGCGGUUUGUCGCGUCGGGAGUGAAAACUCAGGGCUCAACCCUGAGCGUGCUUCCGAUACGGGCAAACUUGAGGUAUGCAGGGGAGAAUGGAAUUCCUGGUGUAGCGGUGGAAUGCGCAGAUAUCAGGAGGAACACCGGUGGCGAAGGCGGUUCUCUGGGCAUUACCUGACGCUGAGGAGCGAAAGCAUGGGGAGCGAACAGGAUUAGAUACCCUGGUAGUCCAUGCCGUAAACGUUGGGCGCUAGGUGUGGGGACCUUCCACGGUCUCCGUGCCGCAGCUAACGCA
RNAcentral lists this ribosomal RNA (830 nucleotides) under Aeromicrobium sp. MOLA 1538. Its description in RNAcentral is "bacterial SSU rRNA". It matches the Rfam family "Bacterial small subunit ribosomal RNA", at positions 16 to 859 of the family's 1533-position model. Lineage: Bacteria; Bacillati; Actinomycetota; Actinomycetes; Propionibacteriales; Nocardioidaceae. The record is from RNAcentral.